AGACCCGAAACCCGGUGAUCUAGCCAUGGGCAGGUUGAAGGUUGGGUAACACUAACUGGAGGACCGAACCGACUAAUGUUGAAAAAUUAGCGGAUGACCUGUGGCUGGGGGUGAAAGGCCAAUCAAACCGGGAGAUAGCUGGUUCUCCCCGAAAGCUAUUUAGGUAGCGCCUCGUGAAUUCAUCUCCGGGGGUAGAGCACUGUUUCGGCUAGGGGGCCAUCCCGGCUUACCAACCCGAUGCAAACUGCGAAUACCGGAGAAUGUUAUCACGGGAGACACACGGCGGGUGCUAACGUCCGUCGUGAAGAGGGAAACAACCCAGACCGCCAGCUAAGGUCCCAAAGUCAUGGUUAAGUGGGAAACGAUGUGGGAAGGCCCAGACAGCCAGGAUGUUGGCUUAGAAGCAGCCAUCAUUUAAAGAAAGCGUAAUAGCUCACUGGUCGAGUCGGCCUGCGCGGAAGAUGUAACGGGGCUAAACCAUGCACCGAAGCUGCGGCAGCGAACGUAUCACCCAAGACAACUUUACGGAGUUGACGAUUGACGGAGCGAAGCGACGUCAAAGCGUUCAUUAAAGUCGAGUUGGCUUAGGGAUACGUUCGUUGGGUAGGGGAGCGUUCUGUAAGCCUGUGAAGGUGUGUCGUGAGGCAUGCUGGAGGUAUCAGAAGUGCGAAUGCUGACAUAAGUAACGAUAAAGCGGGUGAAAAGCCCGCUCGCCGGAAGACCAAGGGUUCCUGUCCAACGUUAAUCGGGGCAGGGUGAGUCGACCCCUAAGGCGAGGCCGAAAGGCGUAGUCGAUGGGAAACGGGUUAAUAUUCCCGUACUUGGUGUUACUGCGAAGGGGGGACGGAGAAGGCUAUGUUGGCCGGGCGACGGUUGUCCCGGUUUAAGCGUGUAGGUGUGUGUUCCAGGUAAAUCCGGUUCACUUUAACACUGAGGCGUGACGACGAGGCACUACGGUGCUGAAGCAACAAAUGCCCUGCUUCCAGGAAAAGCCUCUAAGCAUCAGGUAACACGAAAUCGUACCCCAAACCGACACAGGUGGUCAGGUAGAGAAUACCAAGGCGCUUGAGAGAACUCGGGUGAAGGAACUAGGCAAAAUGGUGCCGUAACUUCGGGAGAAGGCACGCUGACACGUAGGUGAAGUGAUUUACUCAUGGAGCUGAAGUCAGUCGAAGAUACCAGCUGGCUGCAACUGUUUAUUAAAAACACAGCACUGUGCAAACACGAAAGUGGAGGUAUACGGUGUGACGCCUGCCCGGUGCCGGAAGGUUAAUUGAUGGGGUCAGCGUAAGCGAAGCUCCUGAUCGAAGCCCCGGUAAACGGCGGCCGUAACUAUAACGGUCCUAAGGUAGCGAAAUUCCUUGUCGGGUAAGUUCCGACCUGCACGAAUGGCGUAAUGAUGGCCAGGCUGUCUCCACCCGAGACUCAGUGAAAUUGAACUCGCUGUGAAGAUGCAGUGUACCCGCGGCAAGACGGAAAGACCCCGUGAACCUUUACUAUAGCUUGACACUGAACAUUGAGCCUUGAUGUGUAGGAUAGGUGGGAGGCUUUGAAGUGUGGACGCCAGUCUGCAUGGAGCCGACCUUGAAAUACCACCCUUUAAUGUUUGAUGUUCUAACGUGGACCCGUAAUCCGGGUUGCGGACAGUGUCUGGUGGGUAGUUUGACUGGGGCGGUCUCCUCCUAAAGAGUAACGGAGGAGCACGAAGGUUGGCUAAUCCUGGUCGGACAUCAGGAGGUUAGUGCAAUGGCAUAAGCCAGCUUGACUGCGAGCGUGACGGCGCGAGCAGGUGCGAAAGCAGGUCAUAGUGAUCCGGUGGUUCUGAAUGGAAGGGCCAUCGCUCAACGGAUAAAAGGUACUCCGGGGAUAACAGGCUGAUACCGCCCAAGAGUUCAUAUCGACGGCGGUGUUUGGCACCUCGAUGUCGGCUCAUCACAUCCUGGGGCUGAAGUAGGUCCCAAGGGUAUGGCUGUUCGCCAUUUAAAGUGGUACGCGAGCUGGGUUUAGAACGUCGUGAGACAGUUCGGUCCCUAUCUGCCGUGGGCGCUGGAGAACUGAGGGGGGCUGCUCCUAGUACGAGAGGACCGGAGUGGACGCAUCACUGGUGUUCGGGUUGUCAUGCCAAUGGCACUGCCCGGUAGCUAAAUGCGGAAGAGAUAAGUGCUGAAAGCAUCUAAGCACGAAACUUGCCCCGAGAUGAGUUCUCCCUGAGACUUAGAGUCUCCUGAAGGAACGUUGAAGACGACGACGUUGAUAGGCCGGGUGUGUAAGCGCAGCGAUGCGUUGAGCUAACCGGUACUAAUGAACCGUGAGGCUUAACCUUACAACGCCGAAG
Molecule: ribosomal RNA, 2335 nt
Filed under: Salmonella enterica
Lineage: Bacteria; Pseudomonadati; Pseudomonadota; Gammaproteobacteria; Enterobacterales; Enterobacteriaceae
Description: partial 23S ribosomal RNA
Rfam family: Bacterial large subunit ribosomal RNA
Source: RNAcentral